CCUACGGGAGGCAGCAGUGAGGAAUAUUGGUCAAUGGCCGGAAGGCUGAACCAGCCAUGCCGCGUGAAGGUCAGUGCCCUAUGGGCGUUAAACUUCUUUUGUGCGGGAGCAAUAAUGGUCACGUGUGGCCAGACGAGAGUACCGUACGAAUAAGCAUCGGCUAACUCCGUGCCAGCAGCCGCGGUAAUACGGGGGAUGCAAGCGUUAUCCGGAUUUAUUGGGUUUAAAGGGUGCGUAGGCUGUGAGGUAAGUCAGCGGUGAAAUGCCCCCGCUCAACGGGGUGAAGUGCCAUUGAUACUGCCUGGCUGGAAUGAGGAUGCGGUGGGAGGAAUGUGUGGUGUAGCGGUGAAAUGCAUAGAUAUCACACAGAACACCGAUUGCGAAGGCAUCUCACGAAUCCGCGAUUGACGCUGAUGCACGAAAGCGUGGGUAUCAAACAGGAUUAGAUACCCUAGUAGUC
RNAcentral lists this ribosomal RNA (460 nucleotides) under uncultured bacterium. RNAcentral's name for it is "partial 16S ribosomal RNA". It matches the Rfam family "Bacterial small subunit ribosomal RNA", at positions 338 to 795 of the family's 1533-position model. The record is from RNAcentral.